This 315-nucleotide RNase P RNA is filed under the name archaeon. RNAcentral's name for it is "RNase P RNA component". It matches the Rfam family "Archaeal RNase P". Rfam says of the family: Ribonuclease P (RNase P) is a ubiquitous endoribonuclease, found in archaea, bacteria and eukarya as well as chloroplasts and mitochondria. The record is from RNAcentral.
GGCAAGUAACACAACUCACGGUUGACUGAGGAAAGUCCAUACACUGAUUUACCUUUUUUAAUUGUUUAAACACAAUAAAAAGGAACUGAUAAUCUUUUUGAUUAUUUCCAGAAAUGGUAGGCAACCACACAGAAAUGGCACGGUCCUUUAUUAAAAACAUGUGGCUUAUUAAAAGCUGAAUUGAUAGAGGAAUUCGUUGAAACAGUGAGCCCCAGUUUGUGCAAGUUUUGGAAACGCUUAGUAGAAUGUUGUGAAGAGUACUUAAUGAAAAGUUUAAACUUGGAAUACUCUACAAAAUAUGGCUUAUUACUUGCC